Molecule: microRNA precursor, 103 nt
Filed under: Marmota monax (woodchuck)
Lineage: Eukaryota; Metazoa; Chordata; Mammalia; Rodentia; Sciuridae
Source: RNAcentral
AGUAGUAUUGCUGGGUCAUAGAGUACAUCUAUGUUUCACCUUUUGAGAAACUACCAAACUGUUUUCUAAAAUGGCUGCACCAUUUUAUAUUCCCUCCAGCAAC